UCACUUUCAAUCAAAAACCAACUGCCGUCACCACUGGGCGUGGCAAACCCACCUAAAUCUAGUCGCUAACCCUAAUCCCUCAUUCCCUCAGCCUCUAUUCGAGAUUUUGACUGACCCUGACCCUCAGCCUCUCUUAGACUCACUCCCUCUGUCCCUCAGUUUCAGUCGCCGCCGACCCACCGCAAAGUUCGACGGUUCGGCCUUAUCUCUAAGCUAGCUCUAACCUCUCAGUCAGUCAUCUCACUCCCUCAGCCUCUCUAAGCUAGCUCCUAUUCGUAAUCUCGAACCGCUGAACCGCCGACCCACGGCUUUGCUUCGACCCACUUCCCUCAUCUGAAAUGUUGUUGGACAAGGAGGUGGCGAAGGAGGUGACGAAGGCGGUGAGGAGGAGUUGUUGGAGAAGGAGGUGACGAAGGCGGCGGAGUCGCUGUCGUCUUGCACACUUAACCCCACGAACCCAACACAUCCAUUUCUCCAGAACGCACUCAACUCCUCCAUCGUCGAUUCCAAGACCAGUGUGUCGUUUCUGUAGGUCCUGGCAGGGACUCGGCGAUUUCUGGGAUUUGGGUUGAUCCCUCUCUUAUGGCAGUCCCUUGACUUUAAGUCAGAAACCCUAAAGGGGUUCCACGACUUCAGCCUCUCGCCUCUCUUUUCUUCUCUCGACCUAUCAUUUCAGUCUCUCUCUUUCUUCUCUGGCCUCUCGCCCUCUCUUUCUUCUCUUCGUCAAUCUUCUCAGUUUUCUCUUCGUCAUCGAGAAUUCGAGAUCGUCAAGGAGACUGCCAAGGACUGGAAGGGUCUUCAGUCCUCUCAGUUUUCUCGUCGUCUCUGGUCUCCGCAGCCGCUCCGGUCAUCUAGGCCCUCAAAGAGCUAGAUCGCGACCGCAAGGCCACUUCUGCAGAUCCAGAGCCUCUCUCUCAAAUGAAGGUGUUCGCUGCAGAUCCAGCUUUACUGCUGAAGACAUCAAGCAGCCCAGGGAAUCUGGGGUUGUAAAGGUGCAGUCAAGAAAGAAAGCAGAGAUCUUUUUAAAACGUUCUGGUUCAGCUAAAGCAAAGAAUUGCUCAACAGGAACAGGUUCUCCAGUUUACAAGGUUAGAUCUGAUUGAGUUUUUCUUUUUGGUACAUUUAGAUCCGAUUGAGUUUUGAGAACUGAUGUAGACUUGUUCUGCUUUCUCUAUUUUUUAUGUAAUUGAGAAUUUUUGCUCUAUGUUAUAUAGUUAG
RNAcentral lists this long non-coding RNA (1218 nucleotides) under Rosa chinensis. RNAcentral describes it as "sRNA RchiOBHm_Chr1g0317561". Lineage: Eukaryota; Viridiplantae; Streptophyta; Magnoliopsida; Rosales; Rosaceae. The record is from RNAcentral.